GGGCAAUACACUUCUGAUAACACUAUUAGA
This 30-nucleotide non-coding RNA is filed under the name Rattus norvegicus (Norway rat). Lineage: Eukaryota; Metazoa; Chordata; Mammalia; Rodentia; Muridae. The record is from RNAcentral.